AAAAUGAACCAUGUGUUGAUUGAUUCGUAUUAAUUAUUUCCUAUAGGGAGUUCCAGAUCGGGUUUGUCUUGGUCUUAUCCCAUCAAGUGAGGGUAGCUGGCUUACUGCUGUGAGGGCAUUAAGGAGUGAGGGUGGGAUAUUGCAUGUCCAUGGGAAUGCGAAGGACGCCGAGGAGGAAUUGUGGGCUAACCAUGUUUCAAAAUCGAUAUCUGAGUUUGCAAGAUGUGAGGGCCGUUGUUGGGGAGUUAUUAUUGAUCACGCGGAGAGAGUGAAAUGGUAUGCCCCACACAUACGCCAUCUUGUUGCUGAUGUUAGAUGCAGACAAAUCUAGCAUCACUU
This is a long non-coding RNA of Hibiscus syriacus, 339 nucleotides long. RefSeq lists it as uncharacterized. The transcript has 3 exons. NCBI's taxonomy places the organism in Eukaryota, Viridiplantae, Streptophyta, Magnoliopsida, Malvales, Malvaceae. The record is from RefSeq and is a predicted model, not a curated record.